This 301-nucleotide ribosomal RNA is filed under the name uncultured bacterium. Its description in RNAcentral is "partial 16S ribosomal RNA". It matches the Rfam family "Bacterial small subunit ribosomal RNA", at positions 509 to 807 of the family's 1533-position model. The record is from RNAcentral.
CAGUAGCCGCGGUAAUACAGAGGGUGCGAGCGUUAAUCGGAUUUACUGGGCGUAAAGCGUGCGUAGGCGGCUUCUUAAGUCGGAUGUGAAAUCCCUGAGCUUAACUUAGGAAUUGCAUUCGAUACUGGGAAGCUAGAGUAUGGGAGAGGAUGGUAGGAUUCCAGGUGUAGCGGUGAAAUGCGUAGAGAUCUGGAGGAAUACCGAUGGCGAAGGCAGCCAUCUGGCCUAAUACUGACGCUGAGGUACGAAAGCAUGGGGAGCAAACAGGAUUAGAUACCCCGGUAGUCCCUGUCUCUUAUAC